AUCACGUGCGUUGCACGGGUUGAAGAAACCGGACUGAGAAAGCAUGGCGGAGGAUGACCGAGUGAUGGUGAAGCGGCGAAUCUAGAACCGUCAAGAAAACCACCGAGAUUUUGACAGACCAGAGGAUGAGAGUGGAGAAGCAACUUAUCAGGCCAGGCACCGUUACCAAGCUUGCAGCCGGUCAAAGUGUCACCGUUCACUGCACCGGUUAUGGUUAGCCAUUCUUCUUUUCUGUUAUACGCUAAAUUUCAAGUGAUUUACAUUUGAUACUUAGAAACGAGAGAAAUUGAGAUUAUUAUAUUGCAUUUGAUGGUAUUUUUUCUAACAUUCUAAACGAUUACAGCUUGCCCUCUGUUUCUCUCUCUCAUUUGGGAAACAUGCUUAUGGGAUGGGAUUAUUGCGGGAAAUUGGUCGAAUGAUUAGUUCAGAUGUUCUAAAUUAGGGUUUGAGUUGCCAUGUGUGAACAUAAGAGUGGAAAUUUUCGGUCUUUUGUGAAUCGAGAUUAUUGUGCUAUUGAAGCAAAAUUAAACAAGAAACUAUUUCAUGCCCAAUUAAUUUGAGGAUAAGACGUAUUUUUCCUAGAAUUGGGUGCCUUUCCUAUAGUAAUAUCCAUUUUAAAUCUCCCCUGCUUGGAAGCAAAAGAACUAUAAUCAAAUAGGAUCACAGAGAAAUUACUAUUUUAGAGUACUCUAUGAUGCAGAAUAGUUGGACUUUUGCCGAAAGCUGCAUAUUAAUGUUCUUCUUUUCUGCAGGGAAGAAUGGUGAUCUCUCUCAGAAGAUUUGGAGCACAAAGGAUCCUGGGCAGAAGCCUUUCACAUUCAAAAUUGGCCAGGGAAAUGUUAUAAAAGGAUGGGAUGAAGGUGUCUUGGGAAUGCAAAUUGGAGAAGUUGCUCGUCUGCGGGUACUACUUAAUUCUUAUAAUUGUUUUCUUUGCUACUGUAACCAUUUUAAGUAAAUUAAAUUCUGCAAUGCAUGGGUUAAAAAUAAUAGUCGCAUAUGUUAUGUUUCCAGUUGAAAUGUUUUCGGUGAAGGUAUGAAGCAUAAUUUAUGCAAAUAUCUCAUUAUUGUAAUUUUAUUAACAUGUGGUACUGCAUGUUUUGCUGAUCGUAGCACCCUUAAUGUAGCACUCUUUAUCUGACAUGAGAUUUUCUUUCAUUGAAUUCUGAAAUUAUGAAUUCUUCAAAUUGCUGAAUAGUUCUCUCAAAAGUAUUCCAAAAUCCUCUUAGUUUCCUCCUUUUUUCAAUUUUUAUCUCAUUGAUUUUUGUUUUUAGUCUUGAAGACAUUUAAUCAUUGCAAUCUAAAAGAGGAAUUUUUUCUUCACUUUUCUGUGUUUUAAACAGAAUGAGAUUUGAGAAAAGGAUUUGUAAUUAGAAAGAAAAAGUGAUAAAGAGGGCAAUUAAAAUGAUGAUUAUAGUGGUGGAAUUUUGAUGAACAAUGUUUUUGUUUUUUGGGUUAAAUAAUAAGCAAUUUGGAUGUAUGCUAUAUCAUGGUGAUUUCAUUCACCAUUGCUGUCAACAGAAUUGCAGAGGUAAUGGGAGGGGAUGAUGGGAAACAAUAUCGAAAAUAAAAACGGUGUCAUAUAAGGGAUAGAAAAAAAUAUAAUAUAUUUAUUUGAUUUUCAAAAACAAAAAAUAAAUAUUACAAACUGUUUUUGAUUUUUAUAAAAGCAAAAAUAAAAAAACCAGCCUAAAUGAACACAGCCUUGGCUGUUUUGACAAAUAGAUGCCCUAUAGUUGUAAACCUGUCAGCCCCUCAUAGAUUCAUGAUUUGGAUUUAGUCAAUACUCCAAAUAGUUUUUUAAUGCCAUUUGGCUUAUUCUAUGUGCAAAUGAUUGAUGAUAUUCUUUUGCAUGGAUUGUUAGUGCUCUCCGGACUAUGCUUAUGGAGCUAAUGGAUUUCCAGCAUGGGGAAUACAACCUAACUCGGUCCUGGAUUUUGAGAUUGAGGUCUUGAGUGUGGAGUGACUUCCCAGUAGUAGGAGGCAA
Molecule: unclassified non-coding RNA, 1984 nt
Filed under: Hevea brasiliensis (rubber tree)
Lineage: Eukaryota; Viridiplantae; Streptophyta; Magnoliopsida; Malpighiales; Euphorbiaceae
Source: RNAcentral